UAUUCAAAAAGGUGCGUUAAAGCAAAAUGAUACAAGUAGUGCGACAAGCAAAAAGUAGGAUUGUUUGACAUGUCCCUUCCAAGGGCAAGCUGAGGAAUAGUAUUAAAGCAAAUAUUUCACUCGUUAUCGUAAUCCACCUGGGAGUUCCGUGGUGUGAUGUAGCUUUAUGCCUCCUUGGAUGCUGCAUCAUGUGUUCGGCAAUCACACUGCCGGACAGGGUUUCCAGAGAUUGAAGUCCUGAAAGAGAAAAAUAACAAAGCGGGAAGCCCCUAGUGUGGUUUAAGCCAAGACUUGGGGCGUGCCACCAUCGUGCCCCCUCUCCGCCUGUGCCCAUGGUAUUUUUAAUGCGUAAUUAUGUACGCGUGGCACGGAUUUUGCCGUUUGGCUGGGACCGGGGUGGGGGCCGCAUUGCUAUGCGAGCUCGGAACGUGCCAGGCGGUCUUGUUGCCGAUUACUCUAGGCGCGCUUCAAGGAGUCCGGGUCCUUAAUCGCCGAACUAGUGGAUUGCCUUAAGAGGCUGCUUUGCACUUCUGCUGCGAGGGCCGCAGUGUGCUCCUCCAUGCGGAGAGAGCGCUCUGUGUUUCCAUUGACUGUGAUGACCCCCCGAGGUCCUGGCAUCUUGAGCUUGAGAUAUGCAUAAUGUGGUACCGCGUUGAAUCUUGCAAAUGCGGUUCGCCCUAGCAGUGCAUGAUAGCCACUGCGGAACGGGACUAUGUCGAAGAUUAACUCUUCGCUUAGGAAGUUAUCCGGAGAUCCAAAGACCACUUCCAGUGUUACUGAGCUUGUGCAAUGGGCCUCUACACCUGGUAUGACGCCUUUAAAGGUCGUUUUGGUGGGUUUGAUCCUUGAGGGGUCUUUACCCAUUUUACGCAUUGUGUCCUGAUAAAGCAGGUUCAGGCUGCUGCCGUCGUCCAUUAGGACUCGAGUGAGGUGAAAUCCGUUAAUAAUUGGGUCGAGGACCAAUGCGGCGAAUCCGCCAUGACGGAUACUAGUGGGGUGGUCCCUGCGGUCGGAGGUGAUCGGAUAGGAAGACGAUGGGUUGAACUUUGGUGCGACUGGCUCUAACGCAUAUACGUCCCUGAGUGCAUGCUUCCGCUCCCUCUUGGGGAUGUGGGUUGCGUAUAUCAUGUUCACCGUCCGCACUUGUGGGGGGAACCUCUUCUGUCCUCCGGUGUUCGGCUGCCAGGGCUCCUCCUCGUCAUCGCUAUGUGACCCCUUAUCUUUUUUUCGGCAUUUAGCUUGCCGGCCUGCUUGAACACCCAACAAUCCCUGUUGGUGUGAUUGGCUGGCUUGUCGGGGGUGCCGUGUAUUUGACACGAGCGAUCGAGUAUACGGUCCAAACUGGACGGGCCCGAAGUGCUUCUCUUGAAUGGAUUUUUCCGUUGACCGAGUUUAGAGCCUUUGAAUCCGGCAUUGGCUGCCGUAACCUCGGUAUUGUCGCUGUUAAUGCGGCAGUUAUGUUUGUUGCGACGUGACCUGCCAUUGCCGUCCUUGGUAUCCGAAGUAGCAUGGUUCUUUGAUAUGUUAUUACUGCGAGCCAGCCAGCUGUCUUCUCCCGCACAAAAGUAGGUCAUGAGUGUCGUGAGGGCUGCCAUAGAUUUCGGCUUUUCCUGACCAAGGUGCCGGGCUAGCCACUCGUCGCGGAUGUUGUGCUUGAAGGCUGCUAGGGCCUCUGCAUCCGGACAGUCGACGAUUUGAUUUUUCUUUGUGAGGAACCGUGUCCAGAAUUGCCUGGCCGAUUCCUCUGGCUGCUGAAUUAUGUGGCUCAAGUCAUCGACAUCUGGUGGUCGCAUAUAAGUGCCCUGAAAGUUGUCGAGGAAUGCGGCUUCUAGAUCUUCCCAACAGCCAAUGGACUCUGCUGGCAAGCUAUUGAGCCAAUGCCGAGAUGGUCCUUUGAGUUUGAGUGGGAGGUAUUUGAUGGCGUGCAGGUCAUCACCGCGGGCCAUGUGGAUGUGUAGGAGGAAAUCCUCGAUCCAUACCGCAGGAUCUGUCAUGCCGUCGUAUGAUUCUAUAUUUACGGGUUUGAAACCCUCUGGGAUUUGAUGAUCCAUUACUUCAUCUGUGAAGCAUAAGGGGUGUGCGGCGCCUCUGUACUGGGCUAUGUCGCGACGCAGCUCGAAUGAGUCUUGCCCGCUGUGUUCGGCCCGGCCGGACUUACUUUUACUGUAUCUGGCGUGACGAUUAUCCGCAUAGUGGCGCGCCCUCGUGAUUCGUAGAUCGAUCUUGCAUGUUUUGCUUUGUCCUCCAAUACGUCUCGCAGGUCUGGCAUAUUUCCCCCUGACUUUUUAUUUGAAUGACGUCAGGGUGCGGGCUGAGCUUUUGGCUGGAAUGUCUCUCUGUCGCGGCCACGAGGUGGCCGAUCAGCCGCGUCAUACGCUGGGGAUGUAGGUUUUGGUGCUUCCUCCUCCAGUUGGGGUAGCAACCUAUAUUUUGGGUAACUCUUGGAGGGGCGUUCGAGUUUAUACUCUUCGGCCGCCAGGACUUCAGUCCAUCUGUCAGCUAGCAGAUCUUGAUCAGCUUGAAGCUGCUGCUGCUUUUUCUUAAGGCUAUUUGCCGUGGCUAUAAGCCUGCGCUUGAAGCGCUCUUGUUCGAUGGGAUCCUCUGGCAUGGAGAAUUCGUCAUUGCCAAGGCUUGCCUCAUCUUUGGAGGGGGGGCAUGUAAUUAUCAUCCUCCGCCUCUCCAUCUGCCGCUCUCUCAGGAGGGCUGGCUCCUCCAUCCUCCUGCUCUAAAUCGUGCCGGAGGGGAUUGUUGUUGUCUUCAGCACUGUCCGGAGUGCUAUUAUCUCCGGUGCCGGUAUCACCACUUUUGCCUUGGCGGGACAUAGAGCGGCGCCGCUAACGCCGGCGCUUGGGUUGCUUCUUGGAGGGGUCAUCCUCCAUUGUCUCAUCGCCAUUGCCUUCUCUGGGUGUGUCCACCAUGUAUAUAUCGUAUGAUGAGGUGGCUGUCCAGUGCCCUGUGGGCAGUGGUUCCUCUUCGACUCCCGCAUCAUUGUCCAUACCGUCGAUGUCUUCGGAGUCGAAGUCGAGCAUGUCGGUUAAGUCAUCGACAGUGGCUACUAAGUGGGUGGUGGGUGGGCGGCGAAUUUCUUCGUCAUCCGCAUCCCAAUCCUGCCGGAUGUAGUUCGGCCAGGAUCCUUCUGACAAUGGAAGAGACCUUAAUGAGUUCAGUAUGUCGCUGAAGGGCGAGUGCUGAAAAAUAUCCGCGGAGGUAAACUCCAUGAUCGGCGCCCAAUUGGAUUUGAUAGGAACGGGCACAGGCGGUUCAGAGUCCGUGGCCGGAGAAGGAUCCGGCAGUUUGGCAACACUGCUCUCGUGAAGGGUAAGGUCGAUAUUCGGCUUGAUCGCCGCAGAGGGUCGGCCUCCAUGACGGGGUCUAUCCACCUGUCCAUGGAUGGCGAAAUUGGCUCCGAAUUGAGGGUCGGAGCGGCUGCCGGUGCGAUCUCCUGAAUACGGUCUGAUGGUAGAGCUAAAUCGUACUCAUCGUGACCGCGUGGCGCACAAGGCAGGGGCUCGAAUCCGUCGAAGAUCAAGUCUCCGCGGAUAUCGGCUGUGUAGUUUAAGUUUCCAAACCUGACCUGGUGGCCAGGGGCGUAACUUUCGAUCUGCUCCAGAUGGCCAAGCGAGUUGGCCCGUAGUGCGAAGCCGAUGAACACAAAGAUCUGUCCGGGGAGAAAAUUCUCACCCUGGACUACAUCGGUGUCAAUGAUCGUAGGAGCCAUCAAGCCUAACGGCGACGACACAGAGGAACUCUCAGUGAAAGCACCAAUGUCAGUGUCAAAACCGGCAGAUCUCGGGUAGCGGGUCCCGAACUGUGCGUCUAAGGCGGAUGGUAACAGGAGGCAGGGGACACGAUGUUUUACCCAGGUUUGGGCCCUCUUGAUGGAGGUAAAACCCUACGUCCUGCUUGAUUUAUUCUUGAUGAUAUAAGUGUUACAAGAGUUGAUCUACCACGAGAUCGGAGAGGCUAAACCCUAGAAGCUAGCCUAUGGUAUGAUUGUAUGUUGUCCUACGGACUAAAACCCUCCGGUUUAUAUAGACACCGGAGGGGGCUAGGGUUACACAAGGUCGGUUACAAAGGAGGAGAUAUACAUAUCCGUAUUUCCUAGCUUGCCUUCCACGCCAAGUAGAGUCCCAUCCGGACACGAGACGAAGUCUUCAAUCUUAUAUCUUCAUAGUCCAAUAGUCCGGCCAAAGGAUAUAGUUCGGCUGUCCGGAGACCCCCUAAUCCAGGACUCCCUCAGGGGUUGUAACGUCAAACGGGGCGUUGACCAUCUCAGUAGUGGUCGUGAGCGUAUCUGGGGUCGGCUCGGUGGUUGCCUCCAUCUUCUUGGAGCUCUCUGUCUCGUGGGGAUCAGCCUCCCGCGUCUGCUCCAAUAUCGGCAGAUCUUUGCCUGGUUCUCCUUGGUCCAUCAUGAAACUAACGAAUACUAGGAGACCACUGAAAGGAAAACACAAUCGCAACGAUAAUGAAACAAAAAAGAGAGUGAGGAUCGGUUACUACUUUGCAAAAGUUCUUUUUUUCUCUUAACGAAAAUAUACCAACAUCACAGAUCCACUUACCUUCCCUUUGUUCGGAGAGAAGAACAGUGGCAGAUUGGAGUGUUGCCUUUCUUGAAGAUAGUGAGGGAGAAGGGGAUUCAGCGAAGAGUGAAAUGAUGGUUGCUUCGUCCGUCAAACUUAGACUGCGGGGAGGUGGGGUUUGGUGAUACGAUGGCUCGUUACUGUCGCGCUACGACCGGAGUGACUCUCCACCUGCAUACUGCCUUCUAAUUUGGUGGAUGUCAUUUGGGCCCGCACGCUGCAUGGCCCGCAUGUCGGUGAACAAAAGUAUAACAGCAUUCAGUAGAGGGAGACAUUUCAAUGACCUAGGAGGAGCCAGAAGUGGUAGAGUGUCUCCACUGUACUAGUAGUAAUUGUUUUUCUGGGUAGCUGUAGAGUGUCUCCACUAUACUAAUAGUAAUUGUUUCACUGGGCCCAAGACAAAACAGCCCAUGCACACUAGUAAAUAGUAAAAUCAAUUCAAAAGCCCAUAUAUUUAUUGAAUUGACGGAUGGGUAUGACGAAGAGCGAAAAAGGAGCUUCAGGUGGGCAAAAGAGCUUCUGAACAUGCCGGGCUUCUAUUUACAACAUAUUGUGGUCAUAAUCCAGUAAAUUUUACGACCCAGGAUGUUCAUUCUAUGGACUUGACCGAUCCAUUUGACUGUGAUUGCCGAAAACAGUGUUGGAGUUAGAUGUUGUUUCCCUUUUCAAUCUGGUUUUUUUGUAAACCUGAUGAACAAUUAACCCUCGUGCUUUUGUACAGUUUGUAAGCUGGAGUUAGAUGUUCCUGCCCUUUUCAACUUGGUUGUGACUGUCAUAUUUUCUUUGAAACAAGGCAAAUGGCUUGCCAUUCGUUUAAUUUAGAGUGAAAUAUUGUAACAAAUCCCAACCAAGGGAAAUAACAUCACUCUCGUUGGCUGCUUGAGCUCACUGUGCAUUACAGAAGCCAAGUGAUUAGCCCCCACCAGCACCCACAAACUUAUUUCGAACUAGCACAUCAAAUGGGCUGUAAAUUUUCAUAGAAAAGGCUGCAUGACCGUGACAGAUUUGGAUUCUGACAUUUGGGACCCGCGAGGAAAUAGCCUAUCGAAGGUGGUGUCAACUUACUAGCAAGUCAACAAACGAUUCUGCCUACCAGUCAUUGGAUUGACAUCCAACAUCUAUCAUGUAUCUUUUAUCUCUUGUCUUCUUCUUCCUCCAGCCACCCAAACCAAACCAACCCGUCGGCUCCGCCUGCUCCCGCCUCACAUGGCUGGUUGCGCCUCUGCCGCCCUACCGUACGUACCCUCCAACGUUGGCCAGUCCCUCCCUCUAUUCCCCCACACGUCCUGUUAUUCUCUGGCGACGUCAGCCCCAACAUGCACCCGCGCCCAAACCAGUCAACCCUCGUACUCCCCUCCGCCUGUGACUGGACUGACGCAUCUUCAACGGCUCCUGUUCGUUCCGUCUGAGGUCUUGCCGUCGUCCUCCGCCUUGCGGCCUUGGUUCGCUCGCCGUGCACGGUGCGCCGCCCUCUUGCGUUGUCAAUGUCGUCAACAACCAAGAGGAACAAGGAGAUGACUGUACGUGGAGAGGAUGACAGUAGGGACCCACCAGCGUCAUGGCAGUACACAAGCAAGUGCCUCUAUGGUACAAGCCCAAAAAUAUGGUUCCUCCUAAUGGUUGGACAUCUGGGGCUCACGCCAUUGUCAACGUAGUCAAUAAACGAGAGAAUUACACUACGAGCGGCUGACACCAGGGACCCAGCAAGUCACGCAGUUUUUUUUGAGGAACAAGCAGUUGUUAUUUAUACUAGUUUUAGCGACGGAUCAGGGUAACAACAGGGCUGUGCGGGGGCUGUGGACCGUCUAGCCAGGGUUUUAUUUAUGUUUACCACAUCAUGAGCCCAGUUGUGUUUUUUUCUUGCUGAAAAUGCCUAGCCCAGUUCUAUUUUUUUAAGAAAUACCCAAACAAGGCCUACUUGCUUUAUCGGCCCUGCUGGGCUGCAAAUCUUUCAAGACGAGGAGAGUUUCAUUCGGUUUGCCCAGAAAUGGGAUGUACAUUUAUAAAACACAUCAAACCGGGAAUUAGUUUCUAUUUUUUCAUUACAAGAUCUUAAAUUCCAUUGAUUUUUAUGCGUGGACCAUUAUUUGGAUUUUAUAUUUAUAUAAAUUAUUUUUCAAAAUAGUUUGAAUGUGAAUCGAUAUUUCUGGAUUAAAAACAGUUGACCGCACCGAAAUAUGCAAAAUUUUGUAUACUUUUUAACCGUGGCCACAAUAUGGGGUGUAAUGCUAACAAAAAGAAGAUGGGCUCCAAAAAAAUUCUUAUGAAUUAGCAAAUGGGUUGUACAUUAUUAGAAAUAAUCGCAGAUGGGUUGUAUGCUGUUUUCCACAGAUUUGAGGCUGACAUGUGCGCCUACUACAGGUUGACGUGUAUGCUUUCAUAAAAAAAAGGUUGGCGCACAGGCAACACCCUGUCAACUUAGUCAGCACACGAGAGUAGUGACUGUUGGAUGUCCAUCCAACGGUUGUCGUGCUUCUUCAAUCUUUGCUCUUCAUGCUCCAGCCGCUCAAACAAGCGCCAGCGGGACUGUCUGCUCCCUCCUCCCGCGGCCGGCUAUGCUGCCGCGCAGGCCUCACGGCCCCACCGUAUCCCCAUCGCUGGCCUAGCCAUCCCUCUACUCACCCACACAUGAUGUUAUUCUCCAGCGAUGGCAGAUGAACCAGUAAACCCUCGUACUCCUCCGCGUGGGAAACAACUGCCGAGUAUUCCCUUGCUCCGUGUCGUUCCCUUCCUAGGCCUCGCCGUCUUCCACUGCCCUGGUGCUCUCGGCGCGGCCUGGUCAACGUGGUCAACGAACAACAUCCAUCAGAAGUGGACUGUACGUGGAGAGGCUGACAGCUGGGUCCACGGCCGCACGCAAGGAAAUGCCUCCUUAUUACGCGCAAAAUAAUGAUUCCUCCACCUGGCAGCUUGGACCCACAGGAAGGACCUCUGUAUCUUGCAAAAAAAAGUUCCCCCCACUGACAGGCCGGACCCACCAGCUAUAUCUUCGCGCGCGAGGAAGUGACUCCUUAUUACGCCCAAAAAAGUGAAUACCCCCUGCUAGCUGAGACCCACCAUAUUGUUGGGCUGACUUGUGGGCCUACUUAGUUGACGGGGACGGAGGGCUUUGUCAACUUAGUCAAUAAUCCAGUGAUCGUAUGAUGUCCAUCCAACGGCCAUAGUGCUUCUUCAACCUCUGGUCUUCUUGCUCUAGCCGCCCAAAGCAGCGCCGGUUGUGCCGCCUGCUCCUGCCUCCCGUGGCCGACUGUGCUACCGCGGAGGCUCACCGCCCCCAUACUACUCCCACCACUGGCCAGGCCAUCCCUCCACUCACCCACACCCCCUGUUAUUCUGCUGCGAUGGCAGUCUCACACCGCAGCCGAACCAGUGAACGCCCGUACUCCUCUCCGCGUGGGCAUCCACUGUCGCGUCUUGCCCGGCUCCGCGUCGUCCCCUUCCUUGGCCUCGUCGUCGUCCACCAUUGUGGUGCUCUCGGCGCGGCGUGGUCAAUUUGGUCAACGACCGACUUCCAUCGGAAGAGUACUGUACGUGGAGAGGCUGACAACUGAGUCCAUGGUAGCCGCAAGGAAGUGCCUCCUUAUUACGCGGAAAAUAAUUAUUCCUCUACCUGACAUCGGGGACCCACCGGACGGGCCACCAAUAUUUUGCAAAAAAAAUCGUUUCCCCUGACUGCUGGGACCCACCGGACAGGCCACCAUAUUUCACGAAAAAACAUUCCCCCCGCUGUUAGCUCGGACCCACUGGAAGUGCCUCCUUAUUCCGCACAAAAAAAUGAAUACUCCCCUGGCUAGCCGGGACCCACCUUGGUGGGAGGCUGACUUGUGGGCCUACUAAGUUGACGGGGGCGAAGGCCUUUGUCAACUUAGUCAAUAUGAACGAUUCUAGCUCCAGUGACCAUACGAUGUCCAUCCAACGGCCGUAGUGCUUCUUCAACCUCUGGUCUUCUUGCUCCAGCCGCCUAAAGCAGCGCCAGUCGUGCCGCAUGCUUGUGCCUCCCAUGGCCGGCUGUGCUGCCGCAGAGGCCUCACCGCCCCCUACUAUUCCCACCACUGGCCAAGCCCUGCAGCGACGGCAGCCUCACACCGCAGCCGAACCAGUGAACCCUCGUACUCCUCCACGCGGGCUUCCACUGCCACGUCUUCCCCGGCUCCGCAUCGUCCCCUUCCGAGGCCUCGCCGUGGUCCACCGCCGUGGUGCUCUCCACGCAGCGUGGUCAACGUGGUCAAGGAACGACUUCCAUCAGAAGAGUAUUGUACGUGGAGAGGCUGACAGCUGGGUCCACGGCCACAGCCCAGUUUUUUUAUGAUUUGCCAAGUAAGUCGCUUUGUCAGGCCUGUUGGCCUGCAAAUCUUUCAAGAUGAGGAGAGCUUUCAUUUGGCUGGCCGAGAAAAUGGCCCAUCAGUAAUGAGAAAUGGGCUUUACAUUUUUAAAACCCAUCAAACCGACAAUUAGUUUCAAAUAUCUUUUUUUUUCAUUUCAAGAUUUUAAAUUACAUUAAUUUUUAUGCAUGGAGAAUUUGUUGGAUUUUAUAUUAAUAUACAUUUAUUUUUAAAAUCAGUUUGCAUGUUAGUUGAAAUUUCGGGAUUAAAAACAGUUCGGAACGCACCGAAAUAUGCAAAAUUUCAUAUAAUUUUUAACCGUGGCCACAAUAUGGGCUUUAAUGCUAACAAAAAGAAUAUGGGCUCCAAAAAAACCUUAAGAAUUAGCAAAUGGGCUGUAAAUUAUUAGAAAUAAUGGCAGAUGGGAUGUAUGUUGUUUUCCAAAGAUUUGAGGCUUUCCUAAAAAAAGGUUGACGCACAAGCACUGGCCGUUGCAUGUCCAUCCAACGGCUGUUGUGCUUCUUCAAUCUCUGCUCUUCCUGCUCCAGCCGCUCAAACAAGCGCCGGUGGGACUGCCUGCUCCCUUCUCCCCGUGGCCGGCUAUGCUGCCGCGCAGGCCUCACUGCCCCACCGUACUCCCAUCGCUGGCCUAGCCAUCCCUCUACUCACCCACACCUGUUGUUAUUCUCCGGUGACGGCAGACGAACCAGUUAACCCUCGUACAGUCGUACUCCCCUCCGCGUGGGAAACAACUGUCGGGUCUUCCCUGCCUCCAUGUCGUCCCCUUCCUAGGCCUCGCCGUCGUCCACCGCCGUGGUGCUCUCAGUGUGGCAUGGUCAAUGUGGUUAACGAUUGACUUCCAUCGGAAGAGUACUGUGCAUGGAGACGCUGACAGCUGGGUCCAUGGCCGCAGCAAGGAAGUGCCUCCUUAUUACGCGCAAAAUAAUUAUUCCUCCACCUGACAGCGGGGACCCACCAGACGGGCCAACAUAUUUCGUGAAAAAAAAACGUUUCCCCCUAACUGCUGGGACCCACUAGCUACACCUUCGCACGCAAGGAAGUGCGUCCGUGCAAAAAAACAAAACGAUUCACCCCCCUGACUGCUAGGACCCACCUGCUACAUCUUUGCACGCAAGGAAGUGCCUGACAGUCGGGACCCACCUGGUCGAAGCAUACGUAGCGUUGUCAUUCUGGUCGCGAAUGUGUACGUACAUAUAUACUGGUGGAUGUAGAGGCGUGCACGUGUCGUAGUAGAGGCGCGCACGUAGCAUGUACAUGUACGUACAGCGGCCAGGGUGCAAGAAAGAAAAUACGGCCACGUAUGUGUACAUACGGGCGGGGUCUCGAACGCCUACUCGCGCAUACAUACGGCGAGGGCUCGUUGACAUGGCUGGGUCAGCACGGAGAAACAGUGUCGUCGUCGUGUUCAUGGGGAGGCAACGGAAUGCGUCGUGUUCAUGGGGAGGCAACGAAACGCGUGGGAGCCAACCGGCUGGGUCGGAACGGAAUGCGUGGUCGUGUUCAUCGGGAGGGCUUGGAUGGAACAGGCGAUGGAAACGAGGCCUGGUGUACCGCAAAACGGAGGAAACGGCCUUGUGUUUGACCGGCCACGUUCGAAACAGGAUCCUGUUCAUCGAGAGGGGUCUGGCGUACCGCAAAACGGACGAAAUAGACCUCCUACGGUCGAAACGGGGGUCCUGUUCAUCGGGAGGGGUGUGGCGUACCGCAAAACGGGACUCCACGAGAUACUGUUCAUCUCCACCGUUGACCUCCUCCAGCCUCCACGGGCUACCAUCGACCUCCUCCAGCCUCCACGGACUCCUGUUCAUCCAGCCUCCACUGCGCGCUACUCCACCGGCUACUGUUCAACCACCCCUCCGCCAUCUACUGUUCAUCCAGCCCUCCACACCACGGGGUCCUGUUCAACCACCCCUCCACGAGCACCCCUCCACCGUCUACUGUUCAUCCAGCCCUCCACCACACCACGGGGUCCUGUUCAUCCAGAGGCAACGCCACCGCUCACUGUUCAUCCAAAGCCCCCUGCAACGCUCACUGUUCAUCCCAGAGGUAGCAUCGAUCGGCUUCAGUUAACAGCAGUAGCGAAGGAAGCGCUCGAUCGGGUUCAGUUAACAGCCAUCGAUCGAUCGCUCGGGUUCAGUAACGUGUAGCCUGCAGUGCAAGCGCUCGGGUUCAGUUAGAGCCCAACGCCUCGCUCGGGUUCAGUUAUAGCCAACGCCUCGCACACACGCGCGUACAUGUACGAGAGAAAUGCACAUCGCUCGGCCCCCGACCUCCCACCGUAGCCGGGAACUCCCCGAAAUUUUCCUCGCCCUCGCUUCUACCACGGUUUUUCCCAUCAUGGACGGCCCAAAGAAUUUCAUGCAGCUGCGUCUCCGGCCUGCCUAGGAUGAAAAGCCCAUUUUCUGUCAUGAUUUUUUGUCAUAGAAGUAGGAGCCCACCACAUCUAUGAUGAUACCGGGUUUUGUCACAAUUAUUGUCAUAGAAGUUCCAUAGAAGCCUCCCCAUGAACACGUAUCAUGAACACAUCCGUGCCCAAAAUUGGCUACUACACUACAAAAAAAAGACACAUCCAUGACAUUUUGGGCCGAACGAAUUGUUUUUCUGUCAUACAUAUGACACUUCUAUGACGAUAAUUGUGACAAAACCCGGUAUCAUCAUAGAUGUGGUGGGCUCCUACUUCUAUGACCAAAAAUCAUGACAGAAAAUGGGCCUUUCGUCCUGGGCGGGCCGAAGACGUAGCUGCAUGACAUUCUUUGGGUCGUCCAUGACGGAGAAAACCAUGGUAGAAGUGAGGGCGAGGAAAAUUUUGGUGAAUUCCCGGUUAUGGUGGGAGGUCGGGGGCCGAGCAAUGCGCGUUUCUCUCGUACAUGUACGCGCGUGUGUGCGAGGCGUUGGCUCUAACUUAACCCGAGCGUGGCGUUGGGCUCUAACUAAACCCGAGCGAUUGCACUGCAGGCUACGCGUUACUGAACCCGAGCGAUCGAUCGAUGGCUGUUAACUGAACCCUACCGAGCGAUUCCUUCGCUACUGCUGCUAAAUGAAGCCGAUCAAUGUUGCCUCUGGGAUGAACAGUGAGUGUUGCGGGGGCGGNNNNNNNNNNNNNNNNNNNNNNNNNNNNNNNNNNNNNNNNNNNNNNNNNNNNNNNNNNNNNNNNNNNNNNNNNNNNNNNNNNNNNNNNNNNNNNNNNNNNNNNNNNNNNNNNNNNNNNNNNNNNNNNNNNNNNNNNNNNNNNNNNNNNNNNNNNNNNNNNNNNNNNNNNNNNNNNNNNNNNNNNNNNNNNNNNNNNNNNNNNNNNNNNNNNNNNNNNNNNNNNNNNNNNNNNNNNNNNNNNNNNNNNNNNNNNNNNNNNNNNNNNNNNNNNNNNNNNNNNNNNNNNNNNNNNNNNNNNNNNNNNNNNNNNNNNNNNNNNNNNNNNNNNNNNNNNNNNNNNNNNNNNNNNNNNNNNNNNNNNNNNNNNNNNNNNNNNNNNNNNNNNNNNNNNNNNNNNNNNNNNNNNNNNNNNNNNNNNNNNNNNNNNNNNNNNNNNNNNNNNNNNNNNNNNNNNNNNNNNNNNNNNNNNNNNNNNNNNNNNNNNNNNNNNNNNNNNNNNNNNNNNNNNNNNNNNNNNNGUUUCGUCCGUUUUGCGGUACGCCACACCCCUCCCGAUCAACAGGACCCCCGUUUCGACCAUAGGAGGUCCGUUCCUCUGUUUUGUGGUACGCCAGACCCCUCCCGAUCAACAGGACCCCGUUCCGAACGUAGGAGGUCUGUUUCCUCCAUUGUGCAGUACGCCAGGCCUCGUUUCCAUCGCCUGUUCCGUCCAAGCCCUCCCGAUGAACAUGACCACACAUUCCGUUCCGACCCAGCCGGUUGGCUCCCACGCGUUCCGUUUCCUCCCGAUGAACACGACACAUUCUGUUGCCUCACCAUGAACAUGACGCAUUUAGUUGCCUCCCCAUGAACACGAUGACGACGCUGUUUCUCCAUUCCGACCCAGCCAUGUACACGAGCCCUGGCCGUACUUAUGCACGAGUAGGUGUUUGAGACCCCACCCGUAUGUACACAUAUGUGGCAGUAUUUUCUUUCUUGCACCCCGGCCGCUGUACGUACGUGUACAUGCUACGUGCGCGCCUCUACUAUGACACGUACGCGCCUCUACUAUGACACGUGCGCGCCUCUACAUCCACCAUUAUAUAUGUACGUACACGUUCACGACCAAAAUGACAACGCUACGUACGCUUCAACCAGGUGGGUCCCGACUGUCACACACUUCCUUGCCUGUGAAGAUGUAGCUGGUUGAUCCCAGCAGUCAGGGGGGGCGAAUCAUUUUUUUUGCCCGGACGCACUUCCUUGCGUGCGAAGAUGUAACUGGUGGGUCCUAGCAGUUAGGGGCAAACGUUUUUUUCGUGAAAUACGGUGGCCCGUCCGGUGGGUCCUCGCUGUCAGGUGGAGGAAUAAUUAUUUUGCACGUAAUAAGGAAGCACUUCCUUGUUGUGGCUGUGGACCCAGCUGUCAGCUCUCCACGUAUAGUCCAUGUCCGAUGGAAGCCAUUCCUUGACCACAUUGACUACGCCGUGCCGAGAGCACCAGGGCGAUGGACGACGGCGAGGCCUAGGAAGGGGACGACACGGAGCCGGGGAAGACGCGGCAGUGGAUGCUCACGUGUAGAGGAGUACGAGGGUUCACUGGUUCGCUGCGGUGUGAGGCUGCCGUCGCCGCAGAAUAACAGGGGGUGUGGGUGAGUAGAGGGAUGGCCUGGCUGACGGUGGGAGUAGUAGGCGGCGGUGAGGCCUGCCCGCAUCGUAGCCGGCCACAGGAGGCAGGAGCACGAGGCACGACCAGCACUGGUUUGGGUGGCUGGAGAAAGAAGACCAGAGGUUGAAGAAGCACUACGUCCGUUGGAUGGACAUCGUACGGUCACUGGAGCUAAAAUCGUGCAUAUUGACUAAGUUGACAAAGCCCUCUAUCCCUGUCAACUUAGUAGGCCCACAAGUCAGCCUGCCACUAUACUAGGUCCCAGCUAACAGGGGGAGUAUUCAUUUUUUUGUGCGUAAUAAGGAGGCACUUCCUUGCGUGCGAAGAUAUAGCUGGUGGGUCCGAGCUGUCAGCGGCGGUAAUGUUUUUUCGCGAAAUACAAAGGCCCUUUCGGUGGGUCCCUGAUGUCAGGUGAAGGAAUCAUUAUUUUGCCCGUAAUAAGGAGGCAUUUCCUUGCGUGCGGCCGUGGACCCAACUGUCGGCCUCUCCACGUACAGUCCACUUCAGAUGCAUGUCGGUCGUUGACCACGUUGACCAGGCCUCUCCGAGAGCACCAGGGCGGUGGACGACGGCGAGGCCUAGGAAGGGAACAACACGGAGGUAGGGAAGACUCGGCAGUUGUUUCCCACACGGAGGGGAGUACGACUGUACGAGGAUUUACUGGUUCGUCUGCCGUCGCUGGAGAAUAACAGCAGGUGUGGGUGAGUAGAUGGAUGGCUAGGCCAGCGAUGGGAGUAUGGUGGGGCGGUGAGGCCUGCGCGGCAGCACAACCGGUCGCGGGGAGGAGGGAGCAGGCAGUCCCGUCGGCGCUUGUUUGAGCGGCUGGAGCAGGAAGAGCAGAGAUUGAAGAAGCACGACGGCCGUUCGAUGGACAUCCAACAGUCACUGCUUGUGCGUCAACCUUUUUUUAGGAAAGCCUCAAAUCUCUGGAAAAUAGCAUACAGCCCAUCUGCCAUUAUAUCUAAUAACUUAUAGCCCAUUUGCUAAUUCUUAAGGUUUUUUGGAGCCCAUAUUCUUUUUGUUAGCAUUACAGCCCAUAUUGUGGCCACGGUUAAAAAAUUAUACGAAAUUUUGCAUAUUUCGGUGCGGUCCGAACUGUUUUUAAUCCCGAAGUUUCGACUCACAUUCAAACUGAUUUUAAAAAUAAAUUUAUAUAAAAUCCAACAUAUUCUCCACGCAUAAAGAUUAAUAUAAUUUAAAAUCUUGAAAUGGUAAAAAUAUAUUUGAAACUAAUUGCCGGUUUGAUGUGUUUUAAAAAUGUACAGCCCAUUUCUCAUUACUGAUACGCCAUUUUCUCGGCCAGCCGAAUGAAGCUCUCCUCAUCUUGAAAGAUUUGCAGCCCAAUAGGCCUGACAAAGCGACUUACUUGGCAAAUCACAAAAAUACUGGGUUGUGGCCGUGGACCCAGCUAUCAGCCCCUCCACGUACAGAACUCUUCCGAUGGAAGUCGGUCGUUGACCACAUUGACCACGCCGCGCCGAGAGCACCAAGGCGGUGGACGACGGUGAGGCCUAGGAACGGGACGACGCGGAGCCGGGGAAGACGUGGCAGUGGAUGCCCACGCGGAGAGGAGUACGAGGGUUCACUGGUUCGGCUGCGGCGUGAGGCUGCCGUCGCCACAGAAUAACUAGGGGUGUGGGUGAGUAGAGGGAUACCCUGGGCCAGCGGUGGGAGUAGUAGGGGCGGUGAGGCCUCCGCGGCAUCACACCCGGCCAUGAGAGGCAGGAGCACGCGGCACGACCGGCGCUGCUUUGGGCGGCUGGAGCAAGAAGACCAGAGGUUGAAGAAGCACUAUGGCCGUUGGAUGGACAUCGUACGGUCACUGGAGCUAGAAUCGUUCAUAUUGACUAAGUUGACAAAGCCCUCCAUCCUCGUCAACUUAGUAGGCCCACAAGUCAGCCACCCACUAUGGUGGGUCCCGGCUAGCAGGGGGUAUUCAUUUUUUGGUGCGUAAUAAGGAGGCACUUCCUUGCGUGCGAAGAUAUAGCUGGUAGGUCCGACCUGUCAGUGGGGGGGACGUUUUUUUCGUGAAAUAUAGAAGCCCUUCCCACGUACAGUGCGUAAUAAGGAGGAACUUUCCUUGCGCGCGACCCUGGACCUCUUGGGUCCUAGCCGUCAGGCUCUCCACGUACGGUCCUCUUCCGAUGACUCUCGUAUGUUGACCACGCCGCGUCGUGCGCACCGAGGCAGUUGACGACGGCGAGGCCCCAGACUGGAACGACCCGGAGAUGGGGAAGACGCGGCAGUGGAGUCGCAGACGGAGAGGAGUGGGAAACUUGACUGGUUCGGGUGCGGGGUGGGCCUACACUCGACAGAGAAUAAUAAGAGGUGCGGAGUGGAGGGAUGGCCUGGCCGUCGGUGGGGUAGCAUUUUGCUGAGGAGCACAAAACAACGCCGCUAGACGCCGAAGGCUGGAGCAAGCGGUUCUGGCAGCGCUAGGGGAAGAAGACGAGAGAUUGAAGAAUAAUGCCGGCCGUUGGAUGUAAAUCCAAUGCCUUCUUAGGCUUCGAUCUACUGGCCCACAUGUCAGCCAGUCCAUUUGUUUUUUUAGUCCAUUUGGUGAGCUGGGUGAAACAAUGAUGUAGCAUCUAUGCAGCCCAUUUAAAUCCCAUUUGCAUUUUUCUCGAAAUCCGCGGACUUGUUGGGCUGGGUGAAAAUAUCUUGUUGGGCUAGACAGAGAAAUGUUAUAAAAACAUAAACACAUGAUUGCACGUCAGUAAAAUCUUUGCAAGCUUAUGUAUGCAAUCACUAGGAGUUAACUUGCCAAGUUAUAUAUAAACAAUUAUUAGUAUUAUUUUGUAAGAACUUUCAACUUACGAAAUAAAAUAUCAUUUUAAUUUGAUGAGUUAAUAGUACGUGGGGUAUUAUUAUUUUUUAGGCUGGACGUGGGACAGUUGAGUUGGUUCUAGGGGAAAGUACUGGGAGAAAACUCAGUUUACAUCAAAAAGAAAGUGGGAGAAAAUUCAGAGACCUGCUGGGUCCACCCGAGGAGGGGAAUAUGUUGGGAGGAAGGAGAUUCAAAGCACGGCAGCCGAGUGUACUAGUUUUUUUUACGGACAAGUGAACUAGUUUACAUACAUAAGCAAAUAGCCACUAAAAAAGCAAUCAGGUUAAUGGGUUCUUAAAAGAAAUAUUUCGGACAAAAUAGAUAAUUACGACACAUAGGCUAAUGCAUGAAACACUCAGAUGAUAAAGGUGCUUAUAAAAAGAUAAAGUACAACAUCUAGACCUUCCUGGCACGCUUGAUCAUGAUGCUGCGGCUGUCCGUGUACUCGUCGGUUACGGGAAGCAGACAUGCCCUCAUGUCCAAGAUCAGCCUGUACAUGUCGUAGCAUGCGUAUGCGUCCUUGGCCGCGUAGGUUAUGUAGGCUAGAUUCAGAGGUACCUCCCACGUGUUCAGGUCAUCUUCUUUCAUGUUGGCGUAUCAGGGGUCGAUGAUGGUCUCAGCAAGGUCAACCACGAUGUCCUUCUCCUGCCCAUUGCUGAUGAUCUUGUAUUGCUUCUAGAUGUCGACAAGCUUGUUGCACCAGAUGGUCGAAUCGUCGCGUUCUUCCUUCUCUCCACCGUAGCAAAGGUGCAGUCGGCGCUACCGAUGAAACGGGCGAAUGCUCCAGAACCUGGUGUAGCCAUAGGACUAAGGCGAGGCAGAGCUUCACCGAGUCCGUAUCGUUGGUGUACAUCACAUUCAACUUGGUGCAGCCAUAGGACUGAACGGUGAACUCAAAGGGGAACUCCUUGCUGAAGUCCAUACUCAGCAGGCUCACCCCUCGGAUCGCCAUUGGAGUCUCUUCGAGUGAACGAGUGUGUAGGCAGCGGCAGUAGUUCAUUUUUCAGCUCUUGGGGAACUGGAUUCAGCAGUAAGCUGAGUGUGUACAUGCGACAACAGUUACUACCCCUCCCUCGUCCGCUGCACGCCCGGCAGAAGAUGCACCCUCGGCCACACGUCGGUUCAUGAGCGGGUCUGUAUUGGUACUGCAAUAAUAGGAGUUAGUGGUCACUUUACUUAAAUUUAAUUAGCUUUAAUAGAAAUUUAUACUUAAAACAAGCAAUGCAUUCACUCAUUCUAUCAGUGCCACAGGAUCAACAUGCACAACAAUUAGAAUUAUUAUUCUUAGGAUGCACACGAUCAGCACAUUUGUCACACUUUCACAAAGAUAAUACUACCAAGUUUGAACUGUUUGUUAUGGUUGUUGUCCUCUGCAUCAUCAUGCCAUGUUUCCCAACUUGCAAGAUUCAGAACCAACAAAUAAGAUCCAAAUAAUAAGUACAACAAAGAUGCCUACACAUCUCAUUGAUUCCCAGCUUGCAAGAUUCAAAACCAACAAAUAAGAUCCAGAUAAUAAGUACAACAAAGAUGCCUACACAUCUCAUUGAUUCCCAGCUUGCAAGAUUCAGAACCAACAAAUAAGAUUCAAAUAAUAAGUACAACAAAUAUGCCUACACAUCUCACUGAUUCCCAGCUUGCAAGAUUCAGAACCAACCCAUUAGAGCCUUUUGAUAAAGUGAAUAUCGGGAUUAAAUCCAUCUUGGCUAGCAAUGUCAUACAAUCAAAGAACUUGGUGAAUGCUGUUGACCGUCACAACAUCUAUAGUUGAGUAUUCCUGUUUGCACAGCACAAACAAGGAGAUAGGAGAGCAUGAUUUCGCUUUAAUAGCGGCCUCCUUGAACUCAACCUCCAGCUCUACUUGGACGAGGUCUGCCUGGAGUUCCAUGAUUCAAUUCAUGCGCCUUUUUCUGCAGUUCACCUGAAAUGAAGCAAAGAUUGCAUCAUUCAGCUAGCAAGAAGUACUUGCUCUUGUGAGCUGGCAGGUUCUUCUUUAGUAGUUGCACUAAAAUUGAGGAACAUUAAGGUUGGCUGUCCGGCUCAUGUAAGGUGCAACUAUAAUUUUAUUAUCCUUUUGUGCAGUUCCACUAAAAUAAAGUGCCAUUGUGGUGACAGUGACGGCUCCAUCUUGCAAAGGCUAAUAAAAUGUUGCACGAGAUUACCAGCAGAACUUGACGGAGAUUUUGGAAACACCAAUCACCAUUUUGUGCAGUUCCACCAAAAUUGAGAGAUGUUGCCCACGUGACAUUUUAGUUGAACUGCACAAGACACUCAUUCCAAAAAAAGUGUUUUGUGCAGUUCACCAAAAGGUCACAAUAGCAACAAGGUGAAAUGGAUAUCCCUAUCUGCACAAAAAGAUAGAAAGUAAAUAGCUACUGGUCAAUAAGAAUAUACGAAACAUAUACAAAAUGAAAGAAACAUCUUAAUUAUGUUCAUGGCAAUCACGCAAGGACAGUAGAAAUUUCAAAACGUCGGCAAUGCUUCAUGUUACCAGAAGCAUUAUGAUCAACAAUGAGAUUCCUCAAAUAUGGGUUACUUUAAUGGUGGCAUUGCUUGUUUACCAGACACAGUAAAUCAAUAGCAGCUAAAGAGUUGGUUUAAGGGCAUGGGACCGUGGGGAUACCAAGAUACUCAGCAGCGUAAAGGAGAAACUUACUUAUCAUACUGGGGAAAACAGCAGGAGUGCCAUUUGUAACACAGUUUAAUUGCAUCUUAUCACUAGAGACAUUAGAUUAACAAUAACACUGGUUAGACAUGUCCCUAUGGUAACAGUGUGAUCGCUUCAUUUUACAUGCGCCCUUACAUUAACAAUAGCAAAAGGUUGGUAUAAGGACAUGCGACAGUGGACGCAUCAGCACAAUGUACCUACAAGGAGGCAUAAAGUGGUGAUGCUGAGUUUGUUCAUGCUAUGUGAGGGAAGCAAACCUAAUCCUGGAGACCUUGUACUAUGUGAGGGCAGCAAAUCUAAUCCUGGAGACCUUUUACUAUGUGAGGGCAGCAAAUCUAAUCCUGAGACCUUUUACUAUGUGAGGGCAGCAAAUCUAAUCCUGGAGACCUUUUACUAUGUGAGGGCAGCAAAUCUAAUCCUGAGACCUUUUACUAUGUGAGGGCAGCAAAUCUAAUCCUGCGACCUUUUACUAUGUGAGGGCAGCAAAUCUAAUCUUGGACACCUUUUACUAUGUGAUGGCAGCAAAUCUAAUCCUAGACAUACUCUGUUGACUUGUCCACCAGCCGCCACUUUCUAUCCUUUUUUCAACCAAUAAUAGAUAUGUUCCUUAUCCAGUUUGUACUGCGUUUUCCCAUUAUUUCCCUUUUCAACCAAGAGACCGGUUGGGUAUCCGGUCUCUACUACUUUCACCAUAUUAUUUCCUCCUUGAAUCAAGUCCUAGAUUCAUGCUACAACUUUCCCCCCUUUCUUCGUUGUUUGAACAAAGCCCUAGAUUCGAAUGCAUGAACUAGCUUUACCUCUCAUAAUACUAAAAAUUUAGGUGGCUUUGGAAGAGCUGAUGGGAGUAGAAAAAGAUGCACAUGCAGACACGUGGGGAGCUGGGGCAGUAGAGCAAGGCCGCUUUCGAAGAACUUAUACCUGAGGGGCGCUGGGAUGUCGGCGGCGGCAGGUCGGAUCUGCGGACAAUACGGCAGGGAGGAAGAAGGGUCGGAGGACCUCCCGAGUCGGCGUUGUGUCAGAGAGAACGGCACGGGCAGAGGAUCGGGCCCCUCCGGCAGUUGUGGGUUCCAUCCCUCGGCAGCGAUGACCACAUGAACGAUGCACAUUUUAGUCCUCUACACACACCGGCCGAAGGGAUCCGGCCGGAUCUGUGACCAGCGGUGAGCAGAGAGAAAAUGUUGCUACCGAUGUCUUGUUUAUAUGUGGAGAGGAUGAGAGAAUGAAGAGAUCAACCCUAGUAAAGCAAGCGCUCAGGCCCCUGCGUCCAUAUAUAGUGGAGUGAUUAUCUUUUUUUCUCUCCACAACAAGCGUUUCAAUUUGUGUAUGUGGCAUUAAAGAAAAGAAACUCUCUAUUUAAGGUGACUACUGUACGACUCCUACUUACUACUAGUAGUACUAUAGUAUUGUUCACUUGUGCUCCCCGCCCCUCCAUUCAUUGAACAACCCCACGGGUGAAUAAACAUAUAGUAAGUAAUGUAUUUAUAUAGAACGAACAAGCUCGAACUAUUUUCGCGUAGUUAAAAGUUGAGGGCGGGGCUUUUCCCGGGCAGUACACGCGGCAGUUUUCGGGUAGGCGGUUUGACAGAGAGGCGAGGAGGGUGAGCGAGUGGGGCUGUGCGAUUUGAUGGCGCGUUAUUGCUGGAAAGACUUGUGAUAUGACCAGUCACUAUAGUCAUGAAUUACUGGCGCUCCAACCGGGGUGAUGCCCCCCUUCCGUUCCACGCUCUAAUCUGGUGCAUGACACGUCGACCCGGAUGCUGGCUCUCCCACAUGUCGGAGUAGUAAGAAGGAGCAAAGAAUGAUGUGGUAUAUACUAGUAAUAUACUACUCCCUCCGUUCCUAAAUAUAAGUCUUUGGAGAGAUUUCACUAUGGACCACAUACGGAGAAAAAUGAGUGAAUCUACACAUAAAAUACAUCUAUAGUCAUGAACUACUGCACUGAGGAGUACUACAGUACACUUCUGGCCAUCUGACACCGAUUGAACUGCUGCAUGUCCACCGCGUGCGGGAGGGAGAGCGUGUAACGAAAGCUUCUCCUAGUCUUGCCAGCCACCACGCUCAUGGGCGAGGGAGGGACGCUCCUGCCUUUGCGUGUAUGAUAGGUGGGCCCGACAGGUGUGUGGCCAACCUGUCAUACAGCCAAAGGCAGGUGCAGUUAAGUCCGCGAGGGAGAGGAUAAUCAAACUUCUCGUUGAUGUACGAUUUGAUGCGACACAUCAAAGCACUGCACUCGAUAUAUUUCAAUAAUUUGUGUUUACUGAUGCAUUAAUUACAACGCAUGCAUGCAUGUCGUGACUCUCAUUUUGAUACUUGCAUGUGUUGAUUUAAUGCACCUUGAAGUAGUAUAAAAUAUGUGACGGUAAAGCUUUGUAAUACCCCGGCCCAAGUCAAGAGAUGGUUGUGCACGAGAGGGUGAGAUCAUGCAGAUCGAAGAUGACCCGACAAUGGAGCUCUCUAAGACUAGCCACAAUGGAGAGUAACAUACACUAGUAACAUACACAUAUCCCUAGACUAUGUUACUACCUUCAUAGUGGGUAGUAACAUAAGUGUGGUAACAUGCAAACCUUCAUUUAUUAGGUUAUAGACUCAUAUUUGCUUUGGGACAUGUGAUGUUAUAGUAACUAGCUAAGUUACUGUAACUAUCUCUCUCCUCAUUAACUCAUUGCCACAUAAGCAAAUUUGCUGAGUUGGACUCGAUGUUACUGCUGAAGUUACUCCCACUGUGGCUAGUCUAAGGUCUCGAUGGACCUCACCGUGCUCACCAACCAAGAUGGUGAGUGGUGGAAUAUUUUUUGUAGGUUGCAAAAGCACCUAAUUAAUGCUCUCGUUUUUCUCAAAAAAUUAUGUUUAUCAAUGCAUUAAUUGCAAUGCAUGCAUGCAUAAAGUACAUGCAUUGGUCAAUUUUCUCUUAAUACUUGCAUGCAAUGAUUUAAUGCAUCUUGGAAUCUGAACAUGUGUUGGGGAACAACCAAAUUGAGCCUUAUAAAAUGGAAAAACUAAAAUUUUGAGAUAAGCCCUAUAAAACCGAAAAGGAGGGAGUAGAAAAAGAAGUACUCCAUUUGGGAAUAGUGCCGCACUUCAAAACUAGAACCAUCAAUGAAUUUUGAGCUUGCGUCUCGUCACAUUCCAAAUUACUCCAUGCUAUAUUGAAUUGCAAACCUGUUCACACCGAUCACAACCUAAACGGUUUCCCACUUAGGAGCGUAUUAGUACUUGGUUAUAAAUACUAGUAUGACAAGAUGACUGCACAUUCCUCCUCAACUCCUCAUCCACAAAACCAAACAAGUCAUUCAGCAUCCUUCCCUUGCGUCUGCCAUGGCCAGCGUGAGUUCUGGGUCGAGAGAUUGCCACCAGGGAGAGGCGAGCAUGGAAGCGGAAGCACGAGAGAUGUCCCGCCUCGCUGCGAGAGCAGCCGACAUGUCCUGCCGUGCGGAAGUAGCAGCACAGAGGUCCCGUCGCGCCGCUGAAGCAGCAUGGAGGUCCCGCCGCGCCGUCGAUGUAGCAGACUAGUCCGGCCGCGCCGCGGAAAAAGCAGAGAUGUCCCGCCGCGCCACGAAUGCACCCGAGAUGUCCCGCCGCGCCGAGGCGGCCUGGGAAAAUUUCUCGCGGGCAGGCGAUGACUGUUACAGGCGCAUGCAUGCGAUCGUCCAUAGCCAGAUGGAUCAGAUCUCCGACUGGGCGAGGUUGCAAGAUGACAUGAAAGCCUCGUUUGAACAGGCUACCGGCGUCAUCCGACAACUAAGGGAGGGCAAUGAGAGGCUCCGGGCCAAGCGCGACCUGCUAAGGGAGAAGAUCGUCCGAAGUGCAGACCAGCAGGAGGAGACCAGUGCCUUGUUGAAGAGGACCGGCGUCAUCAUCAAGAAACUUAUGGACGAGAAUGACAUGCUCCGCAACAAGCGCCAAAGGCUGGUGGAGGAAUCCGUGGAUGUUAUCAAGCAGCGUCUUGAGGACAUGAAAGAGCUCAUCGCCGUUCGCCGCGGAGACUAGUUCUCGUGGCCUGCAGCAACGCAUCAAGAAAGUAGAGAUCAGCGAGCCAGAUCCUUGUCUUCCUUCUUCUUUUGCCCUUGUGUAUUUCAGGCGUAGCCGCAUGUGGCUUUUUUAAUUAUCUUUCUAAUUAUGUAAGACAAUUAAUCGUCCUUAUCUUUCUGUGGAAGAUCAAUGUUGCGAGGCUGGAAUGAAGAAAACUCUUGCUGUGGCGACCCUGGCGUUGCUGUUCUUCUAGUUGCUGCUGGGCUUCCUUCAGUUUCCUGGUUUCUUUUGAUGUAAUAAUCGGUUUAGGAUGUGGAUUGUGUCGUCGAUUGUGAAAUGUUGGGUUCUAGCGCGGAUGUUUGGCCUUUCUUGGCCUCUUGGGAUGUUGCGAUUUCAAUCUGGUAGCUUUUAGUCCUUCGUGUUAGGCUGGAGUUGUGCUGAACUUCUUGUGAAUUGUGGUUGUUUUCAGUAAUGAAAAUCGGAAGGGGCAAGCCCUUCUUUGAUCAAAAAAAAAUUAAUAGUCCUUAUAUAUUCAUCAGUCUUGCUAUAAGUCGCAGUAGAUGCUAUAUAGGUCCGUCGGAUCUUACAUCAAGAUCCGUGCUUUCAGAUUUUCUUUUUUCUCUCUUAAAUCUUAGUCGAGUGAGACAUAGCCACGCCGUUAAACAGAGGCUCGGGCACCAUUAAUGGAGACCUUGGGAGAGAGGUGGACGGCAGAUGGAGGUCAAAGGGCUCUCCUCCCGAUAAGCACGCGCAGGGGUCUGGUCGCACGCCUCUCGUACUCAAAUAGCUACCCUGCACGGCGCCUCCUAGCUAAUAAAAAAUGGGGAUGCGUGGCAGCACGUAAAUGGUACUAGUAAGUAGAACGCCCACGGUUUCAAUAAUACUUGUGUUUCCAAUUGUAACGUGACAGCACUUGUUCCAAAAUGACUUUGUUGAUUGUUAAUGUGUGCGCCUUCGCAAAUCGGACUGCAAAUUUACCACAACAUGUUGGUGCCAUGUCAUGGAACCAAGCCAAGUUUCAUUAUUUUCAUGCGUGUUUUGGAUUUAUAGGAAUUAAAAAACUAACUUUCUCAAUGUUUUCAACCCAGCCACGACGCCCAGAAUUUUGAAUUUCAUUCCCAUUUCUUGCAUGGAACCUAGAAAUUUACCCGAAGAAACACAUGUGAUUUUUCAACCAACUUUGGUGCACUGGAACAUGUGCUUGUAUUUCAAAUUUGAAUUAUGCACACAAAGGUGACACAUUCCCUCCUAGAACCACGAGCCUUCUUGAGAGAAGCUCCGAUUUGCAAGAAGCUUAUACCAAAAUUUGUUCCUAUUCGGCCAAUUUUUUACCACGGCAUGGUACUACCAUGGCAUGACACCAUGCCAAGUUUCAUGAUUUUAAAACCAAGUUUCUCAAUGUUCUCGACCGAGCCACGAUGCCCAGAUGUUUGAAUUUAUUCUCAUUUUUUGCAUGGGACCUACUCCCUCCUUCCAUCUAUAUAGGGCCUAAUGUGUUUUCAAGAUAGCCUUUGACUAUUGACAAGAUUAAUAGCACAUGAGAUGUAUACUAUGAAAAUUAUAUUAUUGGAAGCUCCUUUCACAUACAAAUUUGAAGGUAUGCUUUGUGUAAGUUGCGUGUCAUAUAUUAUUGCUCUAACAUUUGGUCAAAGUUAGCCUCGAAAAACGCAUUUGGACCUAUAUAGAUGGAAGGAGGGAGUAGAAAUUCACCCGAGGACACAAAUGUGAUUUUUCAACCAACUUUGGUGCACGGGAGCAUGUGGUUGUAGUUCAAAUUUGAAUUGUGCACAUUAAAUGACCAAAAACUCAAUUAAUGUGUAAAUAAGGCCAAAUGAAGCCGGAAUAAUUCCAAAAUUUAACAGGGCACUCAUGUAGUUAUAUGUUGCCUUUGUAAAUAAACUCAAGGGGGACAACGUAUACAGUUUCGCAAUCAAAGGUGGCACGUUCCCUCUCAGAACCACGAGCCUUCUUGAGAGAAGCUUCGGUUUGCAAGAAGCUUAUACCAAAAUCUGUUCCUAUUUGGCCAAUUUUUUUACCACAACAUGGUAGUACCAUGACAUGACAUCCAUGCCAAGUUUCAUGAUUUUCAGACGUGUUUUGGAUUUACAAGAAUUUUAAAACCAAGUUUCUCAAUGUUCUCGGCCGAGCCACGAUGCCCAGAUGUUUUAAUUUUAUUCUCAUUUCUUGCAUGGGACCUAGAAAUUCACCCGAGGACACAAAUGUGAUUUUUCAACAAACUUUGGUGCAUGAGAGCAUGUGCUUGUAGUUCGAAUUUGACUUAUGCACAUUAAAUGACCAGAAACUCAAUUAAUGUAUAAAAACGACAAAUGAACCCGGAAUAAUUCCAAAAUUUAACAGGGCACUAAUGUAGUUCUAUGUUGCCUUUGUUAAGAAACUCAAGGGGGGCAGCGUAUAUUGUUUCACACUCAAAGGUGGCACGUUCCCUCUUAGAACCACGAGCUUCCAAAUCGGUCCAAUUUUUUUACCACAACAUGUUAGUGCCAUGACAUGACACCAUGCCAAGUUUCAUGAUUUCCAGGCGAGUUUUGGAUUUGCAUGAAUUUAAAAUCAAAGUUUCUCGAUGUUCUCGGCCGAGUCAUGACGCCCAGAUGUUUGAAUUUCAUUCUCAUUUCUUCCAUGGGACCUAGAAAUUCAACCAAUGACACACAUGUGAUUUUUCAACCCACUUUGGUGCACCGGAGCAUGUGCAUGCAAUUCAUAUUUAGAGUAUGCACAUUAAAAGUCCAGAAACUCAAUUAAUGUAUAAAAAGGCCAAAUGAACCCGAAAUAACUCCAAAAUUUAACAGGGCACUCAUAUAUUUCUAUCUUGCCUCUGUAAAUAAAAUCAGGGGGGAGGCAGUGUAUAUCGUUUCGCACACAAAGGUGACACGUUCCCUCUCGGAACCACGAGGCUUGUUGAGAGAAUCUCCGGUUUUGCAAGAGGCUUAUACCAAAACUUGUCCCAAUUCAGCCAAAAAUUAUACGUAUGAAAACAGGGUUUAGAUUAUCCCAAACAUCUCGCUAGCUAGACCAAUAAUGUACUAUGAUUUGAAUUCAACAUAAAAUGGAUACAAAUAUUUGAAUUGGAGAGAGUAUGGUACAUGUAGUUCAUAGUGAAAUAUGAUUACUGCUAUAUGUAUGUUUUUUGUUAUCAAGAUAAUAUUUAAAUUAUUGUAUAACUUGACAACAAUCAUAUUAUAAUAAGGAAAAUUGAUUCAAAUUUAGUCCAUAUGGUAGACGACAAUAUAUAUGUUCACAUGGUGGAGUAAAAUGUUCAUAUAUGAUGGAAGAUCAAAAUGUACGACUACAUCAAUUAUAAACCGCAAGGUCACCUAACAAUAUAUUCAAAUUCAACAUAACAUGGAUUCAAAAAUUGAAAUUCAAGAUCAUGGCAUUUUUAAUCAUAUAAAAAGGGACAUUACUCUUUCUUUGGUGGGAAUUGAUUUGUUUUUUGUUGCUAUUGAGGGAAGUGCGGAUCAAUUUGGUACUGUGCAGGGUAAUCUUGUUCUCCUGUUUUUUUACAUUUUUCUAGUAGUUUUUUCAAUGGCAUCUAUACCAAUAUAGUAAAAGGGGACAUGACUCUCUUGUGUCUUGUAUGAAUUGUUUUUUACACGUUAAGUUUGUUCUGCCGAACAAGGAAUCCGCACCUUGUUAUCCCGAAAUUUUCAAGCUCGAGUAUCUUUUGUCUCACCUGCUUUGAAACUCCCGCUUCUUCAACCCGCGCCGCGCCUUGUUAUCCCGAAAUUUGGACGCGCGCGAGAACUCCCUCCUCACCCGAAAUCGCUCCUGCAGCCCAGACACGUGAAAUCCCCCUUCUACCCCUCAGCCAGAAAUGAAGCCCCAUGUCGCGGUGUCAAAACCGGUGGGGGUACGCUGGUAACUUACCCUACAUUUCGAACAAGUGCGUCCCUAAGCUUGGCNNNNNNNNNNNNNNNNNNNNNNNNNNNNNNNNNNNNNNNNNNNNNNNNNNNNNNNNNNNNNNNNNNNNNNNNNNNNNNNNNNNNNNNNNNNNNNNNNNNNNNNNNNNNNNNNNNNNNNNNNNNNNNNNNNNNNNNNNNNNNNNNNNNNNNNNNNNNNNNNNNNNNNNNNNNNNNNNNNNNNNNNNNNNNNNNNNNNNNNNNNNNNNNNNNNNNNNNNNNNNNNNNNNNNNNNNNNNNNNNNNNNNNNNNNNNNNNNNNNNNNNNNNNNNNNNNNNNNNNNNNNNNNNNNNNNNNNNNNNNNNNNNNNNNNNNNNNNNNAAAACCCGUGAAACCCCACGCUCCUCCGUCGGCCUCCCGACCGCCGCCCAGCCGGAGACUCUUCCCCGACUACGUCGUCCACCGCAACAGCUCACCGUCCCUCAUCCACCGCACCGGAUGAGGAUCCGUUGUCGAUCGCGUCGUCCCGCCGGAUCAGCCGCCCCGUCCUCCACCUCCAAGGAGCUACCCCGACGUUUGCCUCGUCUAUCGCGCCACCUCAAUCCCCACAGCGCCGUCUUGACCUGCCCCACCGGAACCGCAGCACCCUCACCAAUUCCUCCGAUGAAGCCGAGGCCAACUCGGCGCCACCAAGGAGGUUCUGCACUCACCGCUGCAUUUUAUAUUUUAUUUGAUCUCACGGGGCUACUGGUGCUCGAUAUCGAGCAGACAUGGCGUGUCUCCAUCGACGGCGUCGUCGCCGGCCACAUCAUCCAUGGCUCUCUCCCCCAUGUCGUUGCUUCCUCAGCGAUGACUUCCACAACUACACUAGCUGCAGCUGCUCCGGCUCUCGCUCGCGUUGCGGCUCUGUUCUUGCUGUCGGUCGCGCUACUGCACUGAUCCUGCUUUCGUUCGUGCUGCUGCUCUGCUCUUGCUCUCGCUUGCACUGCUGCUGCUGCUGCACGACCUCCGGCAGCUACAGGAGUUGCUGCUUUAGCACUCGCUUGCAGUGCUACUGCACGACUUGCUCUCUGCUAGUGUGUUCCCUGCUCAAGCGUCUGCUGAUUUAGAUCACAGCUUCUCUGCUACUAGUGCUCGAACGCCCUAAACAUCUAUUGCAAUGCUAUGUUACUAGUUCAAUCAGUUUCGACAGUAAAAUUCAGUUUCGACUGUGAAGUUCAUUUUCUUCAGUUAAGUUUAGAGUGAACAGUACUUACAUCAUCUGUCGGAGCGGCCGUGGCGCGGCUGAUGCAUUUUACAUCUAGCACUUUUUGGUGAUGUAUUUUACAUCAUCUAUUGCAGAUGAUAUUAGGGUCCAACUUCAGAUUAACGUUGUUUGCCUUGUCAUGCUUCAGCCUCGUCGCCGUACACCUUAGUGGAGCUGCUCCAACGAUAGAACCGUCCAUCACAGCGGAGCAGUACCCUCGGUGCCGUUUCUAGAGGCCUCGGAUCUUCUUCCCCGCCUCCGACAGUCACACCAGCAUCAUCACCAUCCUCCACGUCCAACCCAAUGAUGCUGAGGUCCACAAGGCUAUGCCAAAGAGGUUGUACACUCGUCGCAUCACUUUGUUUCUCCAUUCGUCUGUUCUUCCAAUUCAUGUGAGCCAAACACCCAGGUUAACUGAAAUCCUAUGUUUCAAAAUGCUCUGUUUUGCACGUGCAUUCCUAUCCUAUUCCUGUGUUUUUACUGUCCCUGCGUUUAUAGAAUCCUCCAAUUCUAAGGAGCCCUUACAGAUUUACUUCAUUUUCAGAUAGGCGUCAAAGAAAACUCUGUGUGUUAUGUCCUGCUCCUGCCGUGCCGUCAUCCACCCCACCUGAGGUGCACCAUCGACAGAAGCGUUCACUGCAGCAGAGAUCCCCCCUGCAGACUUCCUUUUGCCGCCUCAGAUCAUCUUCCCCGUUGUCGGAAGCCAUGCCAACUGCAUUACCAUCAUCGACUGAGCAGAUGAACCUGAGGAAUACACAGUUCCGGAAGAGAGGUCGCAGUCUUUCGUGUUUGCUUACGUUAUACAUCGGUUAUUAUUACCUGCUACUUUAUUGUUCAAUCUUGAGUUUUGAAUAGCCCAUGGGUCUCAUAUCGAGCCAACAACGAAUAGUAUAUGUCUACUAUCUGGUUCAUCUGGGGUCUUCUAUGUGGUUCAUGUUGGGUGGGCAACAAACAAUAGAUGAUCCAUUGUCUAUCUUUUUAAACUAAAGCUAUAAUCGACCUGCUAUCAUUAGUUUUGGAUCCAUCCACUCGUUUGCUACCACCAGUCUUGAUUUUUGCAUGCACCCCUUAGGCCUUACAAAAUCUAACUGUUUUUUUAUUAUGCAUGUCAGAUAUUGUACACAAUUGUACUGAACAUGUAGAGAAAAAGAGAAGACCGUUGCGUGCGAAUAUAAUGUCAUGCAGACGCCGCUCCAUGGUGGGCGAAGUGCCACCCCCCCCCCCCNNNNNNNNNNNNNNNNNNNNNNNNNNNNNNNNNNNNNNNNNNNNNNNNNNNNNNNNNNNNNNNNNNNNNNNNNNNNNNNNNNNNNNNNNNNNNNNNNNNNNNNNNNNNNNNNNNNNNNNNNNNNNNNNNNNNNNNNNNNNNNNNNNNNNNNNNNNNNNNNNNNNNNNNNNNNNNNNNNNNNNNNNNNNNNNNNNNNNNNNGAGGAAGAUAACUGUUCAGAUGGAGAUUCAGAUGGAGCCAACCAUGCCUGUUUACCACCUGAGGUGUUUGCUCUAACCUGGCAUGCUGAUGUUGGUCAUAUAAUGCAUAUGGCGCCUUGCAUUGCUUACAUUAUACAUCUUAUAUGUCAUCAGCUUAGUUUAGAUUUGCUUUGUGUGAAUGCCGCUUGUUUGGUUUCUAUAUCAUACUCCCACCAUUCCUAAAUAUUUGUCUUUUUAGAGAUUUCAACAAGUGACUACAUACAGAACAAAAUGAGUGAAUCUACACUCUAAAAUAUGUCUAUAUACAUCCGUAUGUGGUAGUCCAUUUGAAAUAUCUCAAAAGACAAAUAUUUAGGAACGGGGGGGAGUAUAUGGGAAUUAUGCAAUGCCAUCUUCUUUAGCCAGGCAUCAUAUACGUGAAUCAUGCAAUGCCAUCCUGUUUAGCCAGUCAUCGUAUAUGUGAAUUGUAUCGUGCCAUAUUUUUUUCCAUAAUGUAUUCCAUUUGUCAGCAAUGUUUAUACAUUCAUCUACUCUUCCUGUGCAUCAGCCAUUUGAGUCGGUCACGGGAAAAUCUGGAGUGAAAACAAGGUCUUCUGAGCAGUCAGUGCUACAUGUCGAUGUAGAUUUCUUGUUGGUUACAGAUAGCUGCUCAGAGGAGGAUUCAGAGAGAGAUGACCAGUCGUAUCCCCCCCCCCCGAGGUGCAUGCUCUAACUUGGCUGGGUUAUAUUGCUCAUAUCAUGCAUAUGGUGUCUUGCAUUGCCAUGCCAUCUGCUUAGAUUAGACAUGCUUUGUGUGAAUGCCUCCUGUUUGCUUUCUAUAUCAGAUAUGUGAAUUAUGCAAUGCCAUGUUUUUCAGCCAGUUAUCAUAUAUGUGAAUUAUGCACCGCCAUGGAGCCAGGCAUCAUAUAUGUGAAUUAUCUCAUGCCAUCUUUUUAUUUCAUUUCGUAUUCCAUUUGUCGACAAUCUGUGUAUAUUGAACUACUCUUCAUGUGUAUCAGCCAUUUGAGUCGGUUAUGGAAAAAUCUGGAGUGAAAACAGGUCUUCAGAGCAGGCAAUGGUACCUGUUGAAGCAUAUAUCUCGAUGGUUACAGGGAGCUCCUCAGAGGAGGAUUCAGAGACAGAUGACCAGUCCUAUAUCCCACCUGAGGUGUAUGCUCUAAGUUGCAAUGUUUAUAUUUCUCAUAUGAUGCAUAUGGUAUCUUGCAUUACUUAGUUUAGACAUCAUAUGCACAAUAUUGAAUUCUUCUGCUUAGUUUAGAGAUCAUACAUGUGAGUGCCAGCUACUUAGUAUAUGAAUCAAUUAUGUCAAUUAUAUCAUGCCAUAUUGUAUACUUAGACAACAUGUAUGUGAAUUAUUUCAUCCCAACCUAUUUUAGAAAGACAUCAUAUAGUUUUGUCGUGUCAUCCUGUUUAGGUACUAAUCAUAUGUUGAAUUAUGCCAUUAUAUCUUGUUAAGUUAACCAUCAUAUAUCUGAAACUGUGUCAUGCUAUCCUGUUUAGUUAGGCAUCAUAUAUGUGAAAUUGUGUCAUGUUGUCCUGUUUGGUUAGACAACAUAUAUGUGAAUUACCACAUCUGUCUGUCAUACAAUGUCUGUACGUUCAAUUUCUUUUCUUGUUUAUCAGCCAUUUGAAUUGGAGGGGGUGAUUGCAGUAUCUAAGGGAGCAAAACCCCAUUCUUCACAAAAGACAGUGCUACCCGUCGAUGCAGAUAGAACCAUGGUUGUACUGGCCCACAAACUAGCCCCACCACACAUAAUUGAGACUCUUCCACGUUGCACACUUACACUGUUGGGCAGAGAACCAGCUACAACCCAUCUAACCGAAACCCCAGCGGAUAGUAACCAACUUAUAGUUGACAAAGCACCAUGUCCACCACAGAGUACCCCCACACAAGCAGUUUGUAAAGCUACUGCAGUGCCCAAAGCACGAAGACUACCACAGCUAACCCAAACUCCAUGUUUAAAGCAGAAGAGCAACUGUUCUCGGGUCAGAUUCCGUAGCUAUGGUCCAUACUCCUUUGCUGUUACAUCACUGUAUUUACUCAUACCAACUACUUUCGAAUUUGAAGGAUCCAAUUGAAACUCCAAUGGCGCAACAGGUAUGUUUUAAACCUAUUUCUUUAACUGGAUUGUUGUUCUAACUUCUUGCUCUAUGUUGAUUUCAGUUUAAGUUGUAUAAACAGUUAUGUUCUCAUGUGAUGCACAUUACAAGUGCUGCCAAUGCUGUGUAUUUUCUCACACUUAUAUUCUGUCUAUGCUGUUGUGUCUUAAAAAUAUAUGAGUUGAACUGUGUCUCUAUCUUGAUUAGGGAACAUAAACUAGAAUGAUAUGGACAAUACAGUGACCAUAGUACAUAGAUAUAUGUUUGUUUCAUGUUGUUAUCCUGUCCACCUUACUACUGAACCAUUUUAUCAAAAUGAGUUUCGUAUACCACAAGCUAAACCUGUGAUGUGUCUGCUUGUUUCUCUUGUAGUAUGCAAACAGAAUAUUGGAGAAGAGCACCCCACUAUGCAAUGGUAGAGAAAGUAAUGAAGAUAAGGUUUAAGAUAGUGAGACAACCCUGUUGGUCUCCAAGAAAGGUGAUAAAAAUGAUCUUAUAGACAGUGAGAAAACCCCACAGUCCUGCAUUGAUGUAGUGUUCGAGUUACUGGCCAGUACCGCUGGCACAAGCUCUUCGAACUCGCUGCCUGAAUCACUUCGACUUCUUCAGUCUCAGCUACAAGCUGAAAGGCAUCAGUCAGCUAUGCUGCGGCAAGAAGCCGAAGGACUGAGGAAGUCCCUGCAGAAUUCAGAUGCGUACUUUCUUGUGCAACAGCAAGUGCUGGAGGAUUUAAGCGCCAAACAAGAGAAAGUUAAUAAGCUUGCUAAGCAUCUUGCCAGCAUUAUGGGUACCCAGGAUAUUGUUUCUUGAACUCUUCUAAAGUGGUUUCAGUUCUGGACUUGUUUUGCUGCGGCGUUUAUAUGCUGCUUUGUUCCCUAUAUUUUCACUGGUGGCGAACUUUGAUGCCCAGUGGAUGUAAUAUGUGUAAUAGCUGUGAUAGCCUAGCAUAAGUUGUUUGCUUAUUUAUUUCCUUGUUGUCUUGUUUAUUUGUUUGCUUGUAGUCAGUGCAGUUCUUUUUCCACGGUUUGCUAGUGGCUGCAACAACCUAUUUUUUAAAACUAGGCCACAAUAACCAUGGGGCUAAUAUUUAAUGUAGUGACACUAGGCCUCCUAUGGGCCAUAGAAAUAGUGGGCCUUCUACGGGCCGUAGAAACAGUUGGCCUUCUACGGGCCAUAGAAACAGUUGGUCUUCUACGGGCCAUAGAAAGAAUGGGCCUUCUACGGGCCGUAGAAACAAUGGGCCUUCUGCGGGUCGUAUCAUCAAUGCGCCUUAUACGGGCCGUAUGAUCGAUUGGCCAAACAUGGGCCAAUAAAAGGCCGCAUUAUGGUCGUAAACGGGCUAGAGUUGGAAUCGUCCGUUCAUGGGCCGACCAUAACGGGACAUCAUUAAUAGGCUGUAUUUGAUGACACUAUGAAAAUGGCCCAACGUAUUAACGGACCACAAAUGGGCCGACUAUAACCACGGGCUGAAUUUGGCCCACAAGCAGAAAAUGACAGUAACAGGCCGUAAGUAAAUGAAUGCUGGAAAUGAGCCCACGAGUAAAUGGGCUCUGAGAAGGCUGAAAGAUAACAUGGGCUGGAAACGGCCCAACAGAAUAAUGGGCCGUUAAUGGGUAUAAAGUGAUACACUGUUCAUUACGGGACAGUUUCUCCACGGGCCGUUAAUGGGUGUAAAGUGAUACACUUUUCAUUACGGGCCAGUUUCACCACGGGCUGUUAAUAGGCCAAGAGUUACAUAGGGCCUCAUAUGGGACGAAAGACGUCAUGGUCCAUACAUGGGCCAGAAGUGAAAACGAGCUGGAAUCAUAUUGGAUGGCCCAGAUGACGCUACUGGGCCUAAUUCGGAUAGGGCGUAACGGGCCUUGGGUUAGCGGGCUGUAAAUGGGCUAUAUGCGAACAUGCCGUUAAUAGGCUUUCCAUGGGCCGGCCCACCACCUUUUGACCAAGUCAAACGGGCCGGCCUUUUCACAGGAAUGGGCCUCUAUUGGGUCGUGCCACGUGUCGACGUAUCAUAGGCGCCUUCUGUCCAAUGAGUGGAUGACAUCUGUCCCAACAAUGAGCCGACACGUGUUUCCUCCAGCCAAUGAUGAUUUUACACAUGGAAAAUCCCCAUUGGUCGGGGCUGUUAACGGGUUAUCGGAUCCAAAACCCGACCCGAUAGCUUAACGGCGUUCCGUUAUGGUGGAUGCCACGUGUCGGUCACCCUUGACGAAAGCACUUCUGUGACACGCGGUUUAUUGUUAUGGAAGUGCACACUUCCAUGAUGAUAAUUUUGGUAAUGUCAUGGAACACUUCUACGACAGCACAGGUAUGACUAUCUUAAUUCUGUCAUAAAAUCGUCAUGGAUGUACAUGCAUGACAAAAAACGCGACCUACUGUGACAAACACGUAUCAUCACGGAAGUGUAUUUUUUGUAGUGUUAAUAUCCGGUUAUGUGGCAGAUGGGAAUUUGUUAAUACCCGAUUGUAGAGAACUUGACACCAGAUUCAAACUAAAAUAAACCAACCGCGUGUGUAACCGUGACCGUCUCUUUUCGAGUGAUUUCGGGAAGAGAACAUGGUUGGGUUAUGUUUGGACAUAAGUAGUUCAGGAUCACUUCUUGAUCAUUACUAGUUUGCGACCGUUGCAUAGUUUCUCAUCUUAUUCUUGUACUCAUAAGUUAGCCACCAUAUAUUGCUUAGUCGCUUGUUGCAACCUCACCACUUGUCCUUUCCAUACCCAUUAAGCUUUGCUAGUCUUGAUACCCAUGGUAAUGGGAUUGCUGAGUCCUUGUGGCUCACAGAUUACUAUUACAACAGUUGCAGGUACAGGUAACGCGAUGAUCAUGAUGUGAGAGCGAUGUUUACUUGUUUUGGAAUUCUUCUGCUUCUUCUUUGAUCAAGGGAUAGGUUCCAGGUCGGGGAGCCUGGGAUUAGCAGGGUGGAUGUCGUUCUUCUCUUUCGUUUGAUUUCAGUCGUAGUUGGAUCCUGCUCUUUUGUAUGUUGAUUGCUAUGUAUUGAUGAACUGUUGUAUUCAUGUUGUAGCUUGUGGCGAGUGUAAGCCUUCAACUUGUAUUCUCAUCUAUUCAGUACAUGGUAUGUUGUAAUGAUAUCCACCUUGCUAUGUGCUUGAAAUGCGAUUGUGCCCCGAUCAUGAAUUCAUCACGUGAUUGGGAUAGAAUCGCAUCUUGGGCGCUACAUCAACUCCAUAUAUUAUUUCCCAUUGAUCUAUGGUUAUCCUAGGAUGUUUGAGUAGAUCCAUUUUGUCCUAUGGGUUAACCGUGAUCUUGGUUGGUAUGAUUGUAUAUUUUAUUUAUGGUGUUGUCCUAUGGUGCCCUUCGUGUCGCGCAAACGAAGGGGCCCCCGUUGUAGGGUGUUGCAAUAUGUUCAUAGUUUGCUUAUUGUCGGUGUUGCGGGGUUGACAGCAGCCUAAACGCGCAUAAACGGGUUAUGGCGUAUGGGAGUAAAGAGUACUUGAUACUUAAUGCUAUGGUUGGGUUUCACGACCUUAAUGAUCUUUAGUAGUUGCGGAUGCUUGCUAGAGUUCCAAUUAUAAGUGCAUAUGAUCCAAGUAGAAAAAGUAUGUUAGCUCAUGCCUCCCCCUCAUGUAAAAUAACAAGAAUGAUUACUGGUACUUGUUAUCGAUUACCUAGGGACAAAUGACUUUCUUGUUGAAAAAAUCUAUCCACUUUUAUUACCUUGUAAUUUAUUCGUAGUUUUAUUCUCGCAAAGUACUCGUAGUUUUAUUCUUGCAAAAUAGUUUCAUACUUGUUUUAUGUAAAGCAAACGUCAAGUUUGCGUAGAGUUGUAUCGGUGAUCGAUAGAACUUGAGGGAAUAUUUGUUCUACCUUUAGCUCCUCGUUGGGUUAGACACUCUUAUUUAUCGAAGAAGGCUACAAACGAUCCCUAUACUUGUGGGUUAUCAAAGUCGCACGCGUCCCGUCGAGCCUAUGCGGCAGACUACUCGCACGCGUCCCGUCGAUCCUGCACGGCGGACUUCUCGCGCUCGUCCCGUCUAAUCAAAUAGCUUUACGCACGCCAUCGAGUAUGGUUAAAUUAUGGCACAAAAUACAAAGAUGACCAAUGAACGAGGACCGAGGUAGUACUAUCCCAUAAGAAAAGAGGGAUGUGUGGCUGCAGCUAAAUGGUUACGGGAACACACAUGAUUCAUAUAAUAGAACCGUUUGCAAUAUUAAUGUGUCAGCUAUUUGUUUCAGAAGGACUUCGUUGGCUAUUAAUGUGUGCGCCUUGUCUCAAACUGGACGAUGUUUUUACCAUGACAUAUAUGUGCAUGCCAUGUCAUGAAACCAUGCCAAGUUUCAUGUUUUUGGGGUGAGUUUUUGGUUUACUGGGAUUUAAAAACCGAGAUUCUCAAUGUUUCAGGAGGACGAGACAUUUGUAAUUCAUUCUCAUUCCUUCAAUGAGACCUAAACAUGCAGCCAAUGACACAUGUACUAUUUUCCACCCAUUUUGCUUCACUAGAGCAUGUUCUUGUAGUUCAAAUUUGAAUUAUGGACAACAUUAAGUGCAUAGAAAACUAAAUUAAUAUAUAAAAUGUCCAAACAAACCCUGGGCAGUUUCAAAUUUCAGCACGACACUCCUAUUAUUCUAUGUUGCCUGUAGAAAACUAAAUCCAAGGCGAGAAGAGGCAGCGAUUAUCGUUUCGCCCACAAGAGGGGCAUGUUUCCCUACCGGAACCAUGAGGUUGUGAGAAGCUUCGGUUUGUAAUAGGCUUGUAAUAUAGCUUGGCCCAAGUUGGACAACUUUUUUACCACGACAUAUUGUGCCAUGUCGUGAGACCAAGCUAAGUUUCAUGAUUUUCUUGUGAGUUUUGGAUUUAUGGAGAUAUAAAAACCGAGAUUCACAAUGUUUGAGGCUGAGCCAUGAUGUCGAGAUAGUUUAAUUCACUCCCAUUCCUUCCAUAAGACCUAAACAUGCACCCCAAGGACACAUGUACGAUUUUUCUAGCCAUUUUGGUGGACUGGAGCAUGUAUUUGUAGUUUAGAUUUGAAUUGUGGAGAUUAAAUGGCUAGAAAACUCAAUUAAUGUAUAAAAAAGGUCAAACGAACCCUGAAUAAUUUCAAAGUUUAGCGCGAAUCUCCCAUUGUUCGAUGUUGCAUGUAGAAGAAAAUACAAGGCUAGAAGAGGGAGCGAUUAUCAUUUCGCCCACAAGGGGACACGUUUCCCUAUCAAAACCACGAGGGUUCUUGCGAGAGGCUCCGAUUUGUAAGAGGUUUGUAAUAAAGCUUGGCCCAAAUAGGUCAAUGUUUUUACCACGACAUAUAUGUGCCAUGACGUGACACCAUGCCAACUUUCAUGAUUUUCUGGUGAGUUUUGGAUUUACAUGGAUUUAAAAAUCAAGAUUCCAAUUGUUUGAAGACGAGCCAAGACGCCGGUACGGUUGUAAUUCAUUCCCAUUCCUUGCAUGGGACCUAAACAUGCGUCCAAGGACACAUGUAUGAUUUUUCUAGCCAUUCUGGUGAACUAGAGCAUGUAUUUGUAGUUCAAAUUUGAAUUAUGAACAUUAAAUGCCUAGGAAACUCAAUUAAUGUAUAAAAAGGCCAAACGAACCCUGAAUAAUUAUAAAUUUUAGCACGGAUAUCCUGUUGUUCCAUGUUGCCUCUAGAAAAAAUACAAGGCGAAAAGAGGCAGUGAUUAUCAUUUCGCCCACAAGGGGGACACGUUUCCCUAUCGGAACCACGAGGCUUCUUGAGAGAAGCUCCGGUUUGUAAGAGGCUUGUAAUAAAACUUGCCCUUAAAUGGACAAAAAAAAUCCACGACAUAUAUGUGCCAUGUUGUGACACCUUGCCAAGUUUCACGAUUUCCGGGUGAGUUUUGGAUUUACAAGGAUUUAAAAACCGAAAUUCUCAAUGUUCGAGGCCAAGCCAGACGCCGAGACGGUUGUAAUUCAUUCUCAUUCUAUGCAUGGGAACUAAACAUGCAUCCAAGGACACAUGUAUGAUUUUUGUAGACAUUUUGGUGCACUAAUUUGAAUUAUGCACAUUAAAUUAAUGCUUACAAAUCUUAAUUAUAAUUUAUAAAAAAGGCCAAAUGAAUUAUGCACGCUACCGUUCCCCGCCACUCCUCCCAUUGGUUUCCCGCUUCUUCUCCCAUCGGUUUCCCGCUGCCAGUGUUAGUGCUCAUGGAAGGCUAGGUUGCGACACACCGGCCAUGUAAAUAUUGCACACAGUUUCUAAAAGCACAAACAUGUGUGAUAGCAGGGAGUAAGUCCCAUAGGUUGACCGGCGUGAAACGCCUUAAAGGCAAGUAGGCAAUUCUCAUCAGCAAGGGGCAGCUUCCCAUCCGCUAACCUAGUCGAAUAGAACGCAAAAGUUAAGCGUGCUGGGGCUGGAGUAGUCUAAGGGUAGGUGAAGUUGCAUAUCUCAAGCUUCAUUUAAACGCCAUGAUACAGUCAUUAUAGACAUUUAUCAUCUAGAUGUAUCUAUAGUGAUCUGUCAUGACGAUUAUAUAAACCUUGGGAUCCUUGUUUUGCUAAUUUAUGGAAUAUGUUUUUUAUUGGUUAUUUUUUGUUCUGAAAAAUCGAAGAAUGAUCGACAUCUGUAGGCCUACACUAAUUAUCCCUUUGACCCAACGCACGACAAGGGGUUCCUCUUUGCUCUGUGUGAUAUGUUAGAGCAGAUCAAAUUUCAGCACAUGCGUUGGAUGACACCCCUACCCCCCACCUGCCCCGAAGAUGCGGAACCAACAUCGUACGUCUUUAAGAUGGCUAGGGGGUAUGAUGUUCAUUUUUUGAUGUUACUGAUGUAGUUGGUGCCCCAUCGAAGUUGUGCAUUCAAGAUUUGAACAAAUCACACACCAGACCCAUACAUUUUUUUCGGGCCGCAUGCAGGGUAUAGGGGGCCGGGUGUUCUGAUCGAGCAUGUCUCCCUUGUGCGGUUUAUAGACGUCACACAUAUCUGUGGGCUCCCCGAGGUCAAUAUCAUCCUUGACCAAUAAUGAGAGGGGCCCACAGAAUCUAUCCCUUUGACCCAACAUAUGAGAAGGGUUUGACCAUGAUGGUUUCCUGUUGCUAUGUGUGCCAUGUUAGACAAAAUAAAGUUUGAGUGCAUGCGUUAGACCUGGCUUGGGGUUGGGUACGGUGUUCGGUUUGUAAUGUAGUUGGUGCCCCAUUGAAGUUCUGCAUUGGUGAUUUGAACACAUCACACACCACCCAUACAUAUUUUUGAGCCGCAUGCAGUGUAUAGGGGGUGUUCUGAUCGGCCACGUCUCCCUUCUGCGGUUAUUUGUGACGACACGCAUAUCUGUGGGCUCCCCGAGUGUAUAUAUAUAUCAUCCCAUUGACCGAUAACGAGGGGUAUGUGUUGGCCAUUAAUGGAUUCCUCCUAGUAUUUGUUAGGGCCGGUCACUGUCACAUGUCGUUCAAGCAAAGUUCGAGUUCAUGCGUUGCCAGGAUUCCCUCCCACACGCUCGGAUUGGUGGGUUCGACCGACACCGCACGAUGUGUAUCUCAUCCUUAAUUACCUUGCUUUCAUGGUUUUUGUCUGUAUCGAGAGGCAGGCGCCACAUCUAAAUUGUACAUUAUUCGAUAUUGAGAACACACAUCACCCCUUCCAACAUACAUCAUUUUGGGCCGCAUGCAGGCGGUGCUGGUUUUGUGGUCCCUCUCGUGUGAUUUUUUAUGAUGGUUCAAUCUAUUAGCCCAAGCGGUAUAUAUAUACAGCCUGUCUAUUCUGCUAAUAUUAGCAGAAUAACUAUUCUGAUAACACUUCUGCACUACACGCUCAACGCGAGGGCACUGCACUUUCAGUAGCAGGGGUACUGCAAUAUAAAGACUAGUGAACUUCGUGUCGGAAAAAACUGCACGCGGUGUUUUUUCGGUACUUUUUGGCUCUGCUUUUUAACCGUUUAUCGGAACGAGGCGUGUAAUAUACCGUUGAUAAGCUAUGGAUUAGGCGCAACUUCUCCAUGUUGAACACUUUUUGACAUUCCUCAUGGUUUAAGGGCAGUUUUGAAAACGGUGUGGCGCACACAAUUUUUUUCUAAACCGCUCGUCGGAAUGAAGCAAAUGAUACACUGUUGGAAAGAUAUCAUCUAGCCGCAUCCUUUUCAUAUCUAUCAUUUUCUCUAAUUCGUUACGGUUUAAGAGCAAUUUUAAAUUUAGCAAAUCGCGGAAUUCUGGUUUUUGGAAUUUUUUGCAAUAUUCAUAAUGUUUUCGCUCCAAUUUUUGAACCAUUUAUCUAAACGAGGCGUGGGAUACGCCUUUGGAAAGCUACGGAUGAGGCGCAACUUUCAUAUGUUGAAAUUACUGUGAGAUUCCUUAUGGUUUUUAGUUAAUUUUGAAAAUCGUGCAGCUGACAACGAGAGGCAGCGGCCGUUUUUCAUGAUAUUUUUACAAACGGCUGGUCGAAAUGAUUCCAACGUUAUGCCGCUGGAAAGAUAUCGCCGAGACGCAAUUUUUUCAUGUAGAACACUCUCUCUAAUUCCUUACGGUUUAAGAACAGUUAUAAAAUAAGAAAAUGUGAACACUCUGUUUUUCGCGACACCAAAAGCGACGAGUGAACCACAUCAGACACAUGAACGCACUGCUUCAGACUGAAAACCGCACUGCAUCGGACGGGCAAGCGAGCUGCAUGGUUCUUGUACUCCUUUUAUAUUUUAUUUUUAUGAAGAGUUCUUUUUUAUAAUUGAGAGUGGGCCGCAGAGAUGAGGCCAAGUGAACCACGUCAAGAGGAAAAGUGAAACGCAACACGUUUUUGUCAUUUUUUUUACUUUUUUUAUAAAUGCAUCCGAGCUGCAUGGUGAGAGCUAGUGAGCUUCAUCCUUUUUGGUCUUUAUUAUAUUUCUUUUUUAUUUAUCCUAUUUUUUGUUUUCUCUAAUUUCAUUUGAUUAACCUAUUUGGACGAGGGAGAGUGUAAACUGCAUGUUGUUUGUUCGAAAAGAGCCAAAACGCACUUCAUUAAUUGGGAAACAUAUUUUCUUUUUAUGAGAAGUGGACCGUAGAGUCCCUCGAAGUGCACUGCAUUAUACUUUUCCGUUCUUUUUUCGAGCUGUUUUGCCAAAGUGGGCAACUUUUGCAAUUAACACAGAUGUCCUUCAAUAUGUAAACAAAAAAGUGAACGACAAAAAUCGGAGCGUUGCUGCAGUCGGUGCUGACAGUACGGAAGUGUACUGCUUGGGGAGUUGGCGAUGGCCCGGUGAGUCUGAUGGUAAAAAUAGGUCCAGUGGCAGUGUGAGCCGGGCCAUCCCGGAGGCGGAGUUCACUUUUUCUCUUUUUUGUUGUUGUUUCCCCAUCUCCUCCAAAAGCAAACUGAACCGUAAGAACAACGGAUAGCAAAUUGCAGUGCACCGAAGAUUUCCAUCCAAAAAACAAAAAAGUGAGUCUAAAGUGUACUCAUGAUAGUAGCGAACCACAGCAAAAAACACUGAACUCCACGCUGAUGUUUUUGCUCCCAAACCAUGUAUGCAUACUCGGUAUCCGUCCAUGCCCAGACUGCGCACACACAGCCAGACUCUGAAUUUCAUUGGCGCACUUCACAAACUGCACGGGAGCUUGCGUGUGGUAGAGCAGUGGGUGUCCUCAUCUUCCCGAUUUGACGCUGAGCAGUGGGUUUCCUCGUCUUCCCGAUUUGACCCUGAGGAUGAAGAACAAAGUGGCAUGACUUCAUGGGACAACAGUAGUUGCUUCAAAAGCCUGCAGCGGUGAGGAAUUGGUCCGGAGAGAAAAAACUAAGGCCUCUUUUGGUUC
RNAcentral lists this long non-coding RNA (41430 nucleotides) under Triticum aestivum (bread wheat). RNAcentral's name for it is "long non-coding RNA (TAES_LNC005595)". Lineage: Eukaryota; Viridiplantae; Streptophyta; Magnoliopsida; Poales; Poaceae. The record is from RNAcentral.